Molecule: long non-coding RNA, 827 nt
Organism: Nilaparvata lugens (brown planthopper)
Lineage: Eukaryota; Metazoa; Arthropoda; Insecta; Hemiptera; Delphacidae
Exons: 4
Source: RefSeq, a predicted model, not a curated record
CAGAUUAUACUAGAGAACUUGAUCGAUAGAUUCACUACACAAUCUCUACAUCAGAUUAUUGUCUCAACUUGACAUCAUCGGAUUGACAUUCUCUACAUAAAGCUCGUGCGAGCGAGAGCGUGCUACAAGUCGAAAAAAAAAAUUCCCCUCUACAGCAUGUGCUCCCACAUCAUUUUCUCACUUCUCAACUUGAGUUCCACACCUCAUAAACAGUUGAGGUCUCGUUGAGGCAACACACCUGAGAGGAAGCUACAGCUGAGAGGAGCCACCUACACACUCGAGCACGCAGCCAUCACAUAUAUGACCUGUCGAACGGAAUCAUUUGAUGAAUAUAUAAGCUCAGUAUAUAUUAUAAAUAGACAUUUUAAUGAAUUACGUAAAUAUGAUUCUGUUUCUUUAGAGAAAAUGCCGAGAAUACAAAGUUAUCGUUGUGAACUAACUGAACUAUUGGAGACGCAUCAGCAAUUAUUGAACCAGUUAGCAGAAAAAGGAUGGACAAAUAUGAAAUAUCUAACAUUUGUGAGAGACUAUGAAAAAUUAGGAGUUUGGCAUAGUGAUAACUAUAAUCAUAUUUCAGUUUGUGAUUUAUACGGUACAUCAUAUGAUGCUUACAGGGGAAAAGAUUGCCCCGAUUCAUGGAGAUGUGAUUGUGCACAUCUUAAAGAGUCUAUCGAUAAAAUUAAAAAAUAUAUAACAGAAAAAAAUAAACAUUCAACAAAAGAACAAUUAAAUGAACUUAUCUGGAAUUUUUUAUCUAGAUGUUCAGAUGAGAGUGGGCUAGAACAAGAUUGAUAGCAUAUUAUGUUUAAUUUCAGAUUGGAGAUGGA